CUCUUUAGUCUUGCACUUAUGUGAUCUUUUUCAAUGAAAAUUACAUUCCAUAUAAAGUUGCUCAAAACAUUUUUUUCUUUAAAAAAAGCUUUCAGUAUAUUUGUUCUAAAAAAUUAAAUGGACAUUAUAAUUGCACAUAUUUAUGGGAUACAAUGUGAUAUUUCUUUUUUUUAUUAAAACAUUUUUAGUACUUGAGGUAUUUAUCUUAUGUGUUGCAAAAUGUUUCACAGUUAAUCCUUUACCUCCGUUUAUGUUUUUUUUGUUGUUGUUGUUUUAUGUAGAAGUUUUAAUUUUUUUUUAUGUAGUCAAAAAUGUGUCUUUAAAUGACUUGGGAAUGAGUGAAAGCUUGAUGGGAGGAGAAGAGAGUUAAGACAUUUGAGGUUUUUACAGUUUGUAAAAUGUUUUAUAUUUUUCAUUAGAACUCCAUAACUAUGUGAGGAAAUGCUUUUAAAGGGCUCAGCCAGGUGGCUAGGGACAGACUAAUCAGAGUGGAGUGGCAAGACUUUACAAAAACAUGCCACUUUACAGAGCCCUUGACAGUUGGAAAGGUUCCAGGAGCAUCGGGUUAAAGCACCACAGUAACUCUAAGGUAGGUGGUGUGAUCCUUUCCCCUAUACAGAUGAGUGAAGCAGCCAAGGAAUUUGCCCAGAGUCGUGUAAGUACUAAGUGAUGAUGAUAAAACACCCAGAU
RNAcentral lists this long non-coding RNA (690 nucleotides) under Marmota monax (woodchuck). The record is from RNAcentral. Lineage: Eukaryota; Metazoa; Chordata; Mammalia; Rodentia; Sciuridae.